RNAcentral lists this ribosomal RNA (253 nucleotides) under uncultured bacterium. RNAcentral's name for it is "partial 16S ribosomal RNA". It matches the Rfam family "Bacterial small subunit ribosomal RNA", at positions 524 to 776 of the family's 1533-position model. The record is from RNAcentral.
UACAGAGGUCUCAAGCGUUGUUCGGAUUCAUUGGGCGUAAAGGGCGCGUAGGCUGCGGGGCAAGUCGGGUGUGAAAUCUCAGAGCUCAACUCUGAAACUGCACUCGAUACUGCUUUGCUUGAGGACUGGAGAGGAGAUUGGAAUUCACGGUGUAGCAGUGAAAUGCGUAGAUAUCGUGAGGAAGACCAGUGGCGAAGGCGGAUCUCUGGACAGUUCCUGACACUGAGACACGAAGGCUAGGGGAGCAAACGGG